Molecule: non-coding RNA, 2534 nt
Organism: Pelodiscus sinensis (Chinese soft-shelled turtle)
Lineage: Eukaryota; Metazoa; Chordata; Testudines; Trionychidae
Source: RefSeq, a predicted model, not a curated record
CAACACAGGCAACCCUAUGGUUGCAGUGAUAGGUGUUCUCUCCACACCUCCUUGGGGAAAGGUUUGUGAGGUGGUGGAGAAGCCAAUUAACUGGACAGGCCGCAGCUGAGGGGAAUUGGCUGGCCUGAGGAGUCCCUGAUUAAUGAGAGAAACAGGCAGGGGUAGGGGAAAGUACAAUGAGGUGGCAGUGAGGGUGCCUGACACCAUACUCUAGACUGGAGAGAGGGAAAGGAAGGAAGGAAGGAAGGAAGCUAGUUGGAGAACAUGUACAGAAAGGCUCAGGGGCAUGGCUUAAAAAUGUUGCAGGCCGUGGCUACCUAGCAGAGGGCCUUGGAGCUGGAACCGGAGGCCAGUAGAGACCUGAGCUCUCCUCACGACCACAGGGGACGAGGCAGAGUUUGGGCUGUGAAGGGAAGGGAGCCUUCUUGGAGGAGGAAAACCCACGGUGACCGGAAGGACCAAGCCAGGCAGAGAGCCCCCUGAGCGAGACAGAGCGGCCGUGCGUGCGAAGGAGCAGCAGAAGGCGUGUUGGGCCUGGAAGGUGCUAACCCCAGUGGUCUCUUGACACGUGCAUUUGAAAUGGGUUGCUUUUAUGGCGAACACAAUGCCCAAGUGGAAAACAGCAAACAGCGCGUGAGAAUUCAGGGCCUUAUUCACAAUCAGGAAGAAGAUUUGGGAGCAUCUACAAAGUUCUGGUAUCCAAAAGCUGAGGUGUCCCAAGUGACUGACAGCAUCAGAGAAGACCGGGAGAAAUUAUUUCCACUUCUGCUGGCUUAUCUCCAGUGCCAUGAUGCCUACAAAACAUGACCGGCGAGGCAGAAGGCCAGUUGUGAGUCAUGACUAUGCUCCGUGGUCAACGAUACGCAUAUUUCACUGAUGUCACCACCUUCUCCUCCUUUGCCUUCGCUGCUAGGGUGUGUCGUCCACUUCUUUGUAGCCUAGGCCAGCUGCACAAAGCUGCGGGGGCUUCACCACAAGAACUGUCUUUUUGGUAUGUGCUGUACAAACAAAUCCAUAUCACAGUGAGGCUCUGAUCCCCGAAUGGGACCCAUAGGUUCUGCCUUAACACAAGCAAUGUGCUGGGAAAGUAGAUAAUCCACUCCAAAUCCCUUCCCCUGAUAACUGAUUCAUUUCCCUGGGUACAGGUUUGUCCUUCCGAAUCUGAGGCCAGGUCUACACUGGCAGAGAAUAUACGCAGUUCCAGCUACGUGAAUUGCAUAGCUGAAGUCGACAUACCUUGAGCAAUUUUCUGGGGCAGCCCCUCAGCAGGAGGUCUAUGGGAGCAAUGCUCCUAUCAACUUCCGUUACUCCUCUCAAGGAGUAGGAGUACCGGUGACAAGGGGGGCACACUCAGCAUUCAAUUUAGCAGGUCUUUACUAGACCUACUAAAUCAAAUCCUGAAAGAUCGAUCGCCAGAGAGUCGAUCUUCCAGGAAGUGAAGAUGUGGCCUGAGUCUGGAGGGCCAGGAGAAUAGCAGAGCUUGAAACAAGGAUUAAACCAAAAAGGCUUCCAAUAUGAGGAGGAAGUUAAAAGUUGAGGCUGGAUUGGCACUUGAGACAUCAACUGCCAUUUGAGCUAAAAGAUAAAUAGAGCAAGGGCUGAGAGCGUUAAAUUCCUGCCUAGACACCUGGAAUCAACUUGCAAAGCAAAUACAUGAUCAAACAAACUGGAUGGAUAUUUUGAAGCAGAGGAAAACUAUAAUACAUACCCUGUUUUUGAAUUGCGUACGGUCAUAAUUAGCUAUGCCGCGCUCAAGGCGGUCUCCUCAGCUGGAUACCAAGAAGCUAAGGUCAGGGGAUCCAAGGAUCAAGAGGUGAAAUGUCUCGGACACAAAAGGAGAUGGGAGAUGUUUAAGCUGUUUUUAUUGUUUUCCCACAAUGGUGAAGAAGUCAUUAGCUUCCAGAGGUUCGGUUUUCCUUCUAGUCAUACCGACAUCAGUGCAUGGAUAAUGGAUAGGAGCAGUGAGGGGGCGUUCAAAGGGUAAAUUCCACUGGCUAUAAUAUAUUUUCAUUGGCUGAAUAAGAUGCAUGAUCGGCAGGUCUCAAAGAUGAUUUGGAGAGGAUAUCUCUAUGCAGAAAAAACCCGGUAAACAAGAAAAUAUUGUUUUGCAUUAUUUGUUUUUGUUUUUCCCUUUGUUUGGCUGCCAGCAAACGAGAUACUGACCCCCCACUAAAACCAUUGUUAUAGCUAAUGGAAAAUCAUGGAAAUUCACAGAAACCCAAGUCCUAGUUAUUUGAACUUGCGAGGAAUUUUUCAGGAAAACACCUUUUCUUAUUGUUUGAAAAUGCCAAUUUGUCAGUACAAAACCUUUUCACAGGAAAAGGUCAGCCUGAAAAUGUUUUGAAAUUGUCACAUUUCAUUUAAAAAGUUUCUACUUUCAAAAGCACCGUUGGAAAUUUAAACUAAUAAUAGUAAUAAUUAAUAAUAAUAAUAAUAAUGAAAAAAUCAAAACAAAAUGUUUUAACUGACCCAAAAUUGUUCUGGUAUUUUGGAUUGUGAAUAUUUUUCCUGGCUAAGGAUGGGAGGUUUUUGUU